This is a long non-coding RNA of Phalaenopsis equestris, 297 nucleotides long. RefSeq lists it as uncharacterized. The record is from RefSeq and is a predicted model, not a curated record. The transcript has 3 exons. Lineage: Eukaryota; Viridiplantae; Streptophyta; Magnoliopsida; Asparagales; Orchidaceae.
UCUUCUGCCGUCCUAGACAAGUUAUUCAAUUUAUUCAUGCAAGCAGACUUAGAUGGCAUUUUUGCAUGCAAUGAUUAUAUUAAUUUGCUUAAAUGGAACUACCUAGCUUGUUCCUUAUGACACCUCCAUCCAACAGGUUUAUUAUGAAGGAUUGGUUGUCUUAUUAUGCCAAAGCCACCCUUAGCAUUUAGAAGCCGAUUACUGCAUUAUUAGGGCUAGCCCAUUCUUUAUAAUAGACUGUUCUAUUGGCUCCGCUUCGAGGGCCUGUUUUUUGCCACUUAAAUGAUUAGAGGCUGU